UACGAAGGGUGCAAGCGUUACUCGGAAUUACUGGGCGUAAAGCGUGCGUAGGUGGUUUGUUAAGUCUGUUGUGAAAUCUCCAGGCUCAACCUGGAGGGGUCAUUCGAUACUGCCAUGACUAGAGUUCGGUAGGGGAGUGUGGAAUUCCUGGUGGAGCGGUGAAAUGCGCAGAUAUCAGGAGGAACACCCGUAGCGAAGGCGGCACUCUGGGCCGAUACUGACACUGAGGAGCGAAAGCGUGGGGAGCGAACAGG
RNAcentral lists this ribosomal RNA (254 nucleotides) under uncultured bacterium. RNAcentral describes it as "partial 16S ribosomal RNA". It matches the Rfam family "Bacterial small subunit ribosomal RNA", at positions 524 to 776 of the family's 1533-position model. The record is from RNAcentral.